RNAcentral lists this ribosomal RNA (465 nucleotides) under Vreelandella stevensii. RNAcentral's name for it is "partial 16S ribosomal RNA". It matches the Rfam family "Bacterial small subunit ribosomal RNA", at positions 338 to 795 of the family's 1533-position model. The record is from RNAcentral. Lineage: Bacteria; Pseudomonadati; Pseudomonadota; Gammaproteobacteria; Oceanospirillales; Halomonadaceae.
CCUACGGGCGGCAGCAGUGGGGAAUAUUGGACAAUGGGGGGAACCCUGAUCCAGCCAUGCCGCGUGUGUGAAGAAGGCCCUCGGGUUGUAAAGCACUUUCAGUGAGGAAGAACGCCUGGUGGUUAAUACCCAUCAGGAAAGACAUCACUCACAGAAGAAGCACCGGCUAACUCCGUGCCAGCAGCCGCGGUAAUACGGAGGGUGCGAGCGUUAAUCGGAAUUACUGGGCGUAAAGCGCGCGUAGGUGGCUUGAUAAGCCGGUUGUGAAAGCCCCGGGCUCAACCUGGGAACGGCAUCCGGAACUGUCAAGCUAGAGUGCAGGAGAGGAAGGUAGAAUUCCCGGUGUAGCGGUGAAAUGCGUAGAGAUCGGGAGGAAUACCAGUGGCGAAGGCGGCCUUCUGGACUGACACUGACACUGAGGUGCGAAAGCGUGGGUAGCAAACAGGAUUAGAUACACCAGUAGUC